RNAcentral lists this ribosomal RNA (496 nucleotides) under uncultured bacterium. RNAcentral describes it as "partial 16S ribosomal RNA". It matches the Rfam family "Bacterial small subunit ribosomal RNA", at positions 29 to 523 of the family's 1533-position model. The record is from RNAcentral.
AUUGAACGCUGGCGGCAUGCCUUACACAUGCAAGUCGAACGGUAGAGGGGGCAACCUCUCGAGAGUGGCGAACGGGUGAGUAAAGCAUCGGAACGUGCCCAGUAGUGGGGGAUAGCACGGCGAAAGCCGGAUUAAUACCGCAUGAGACCUACGGGUGAACGGGGGGGAUCGCAAGACCUGUCGCUAUUGGAGCGGCCGAUGUCAGAUUAGGUAGUUGGUGGGGUAAAGGCCUACCAAGCCGACGAUCUGUAGCUGGUCUGAGAGGACGACCAGCCACACUGGGACUGAGACACGGCCCAGACUCCUACGGGAGGCAGCAGUGGGGAAUUUUGGACAAUGGGCGAAAGCCUGAUCCAGCCAUGCCGCGUGCGGGAAGAAGGCCUUCGGGUUGUAAACCGCUUUUGUCAGGGAAGAAAUCCUUUGAGUUAAUACCUCGGGGGGAUGACGGUACCUGAAGAAUAAGCACCGGCUAACUACGUGCCAGCCGCCGCAGUAA